GAUGAACGCUAGCUACAGGCUUAACACAUGCAAGUCGAGGGGAAACGGCAUUAAGUGCUUGCACUUUUUGGACGUCGACCGGCGCACGGGUGAGUAACGCGUAUCCAACCUUCCCAUGACUAAGGGAUAACCUGCCGAAAGGCAGACUAAUACCUUAUGGUCUUCACUGACGGCAUCAGAUGUGAAGUAAAGAUUUAUCGGUUAUGGAGGGGGAUGCGUCUGAUUAGCUUGUUGGCGGGGUAACGGCCCACCAAGGCAACGCUCAGUAGGGGUUCUGAGAGGAAGCUCCCCCAGAGUGGAACUGGGAAACGGUCCAAACUCCUACGGGAGGCAGCAGUGAGGGAUAUUGGUGAAUGGGCGAGAGCCUGAACCAGCCAAGUAGCGUGCAGGAUGACGGCCCUAUGGGUUGUAAACUGCUUUUGUAUGGGGAUAAAGUCAAUCACGUGUGAUUGUUUGCAGGUACCAUACGAAUAAGGACCGGCUAAUUCCGUG
RNAcentral lists this ribosomal RNA (492 nucleotides) under uncultured bacterium. Its description in RNAcentral is "partial 16S ribosomal RNA". It matches the Rfam family "Bacterial small subunit ribosomal RNA", at positions 28 to 507 of the family's 1533-position model. The record is from RNAcentral.